GUAGCAAUACGUUAGUGGCGCACGGGUGAGUAACGCGUGGAUAUCUGCCUUUUGGUUCGGAAUAACCUUGGGAAACUAGGGCUAAUACCGAAUGGUUCCUACGGGAUAAAGAUUUAUCGCCAAAAGAUGAGUCCGCGUCCGAUUAGCUAGUUGGUGUGGUAAUGGCGCACCAAGGCGACGAUCGGUAGCUGGUCUGAGAGGACGAUCAGCCACACUGGGACUGAGACACGGCCCAGACUCCUACGGGAGGCAGCAGUGGGGAAUAUUGGACAAUGGGGGCAACCCUGAUCCAGCCAUGCCGCGUGAGUGAUGAAGGCCUUCGGGUUGUAAAGCUCUUUUGGCGGGGACGAUGAUGACGGUACCCGCAGAAUAAGCCCCGGCUAACUUCGUGCCAGCAGCCGCGGUAAGACGAAGGGGGCAAGCGUUGUUCGGAAUUACUGGGCGUAAAGCGCGUGUAGGUGGUUGCCACAGUCAGGUGUGAAAGCCUUGAGCUCAACUCAAGAAAUGCACUUGAUACUGGGCGGCUAGAGGACCGGAGAGGAUA
This 544-nucleotide ribosomal RNA is filed under the name uncultured bacterium. Its description in RNAcentral is "bacterial SSU rRNA". It matches the Rfam family "Bacterial small subunit ribosomal RNA", at positions 72 to 660 of the family's 1533-position model. The record is from RNAcentral.